GAAUAUGAGUAAAAACGUAUGUUUGAUUGAUUGAUAGAUAGCUCAUUACAAAGCCCUAGGGUCCAUAUUUAUACCCUGUUCAAAGAGCUAUAACUAAACACGACCAGAAUUCGAAUUCCAAAUUACACGGAAUCCGCAUACAAAACGAUUUAAACAAAUAAGGAAAUAACUCAGUUAUCCCUCGUGACAAACUGAAACUCUUCCACAACCCGAUCAGCAGCUUCCAGACUCCCCCUCUGUAUCAUCGGCAGACUCUUUCGCCACGGUCAUCGGCAGACCUCCUCAUCAUAGUCAUCGGCACAGACACGUCAUCACCUGUAAACUUAGUCACGUCCAACCUCUCCUUUAUCGGCAAC
Molecule: long non-coding RNA, 356 nt
Filed under: Sorghum bicolor (sorghum)
Lineage: Eukaryota; Viridiplantae; Streptophyta; Magnoliopsida; Poales; Poaceae
Description: long non-coding RNA (SBIC_LNC013898)
Source: RNAcentral